Molecule: ribosomal RNA, 497 nt
Filed under: uncultured bacterium
Lineage: Bacteria
Description: partial 16S ribosomal RNA
Rfam family: Bacterial small subunit ribosomal RNA
Source: RNAcentral
GAUGAACGCUGGCGGCGUGCCUAAUACAUGCAAGUCGAGCGAACAGACGAGGAGCUUGCUCCUCUGACGUUAGCGGCGGACGGGUGAGUAACACGUGGAUAACCUACCUAUAAGACUGGGAUAACUUCGGGAAACCGGAGCUAAUACCGGAUAAUAUAUUGAACCGCAUGGUUCAAUAGUGAAAGACGGUUUUGCUGUCACUUAUAGAUGGAUCCGCGCCGCAUUAGCUAGUUGGUAAGGUAACGGCUUACCAAGGCAACGAUGCGUAGCCGACCUGAGAGGGUGAUCAGCCACACUGGAACUGAGACACGGUCCAGACUCCUACGGGAGGCAGCAGUAGGGAAUCUUGCGCAAUGGGCGAAAGCCUGACGGAGCAACGCCGCGUGAGUGAUGAAGGUCUUCGGAUCGUAAAACUCUGUUAUUAGGGAAGAACAAAUGUGUAAGUAACUAUGCACGUCUUGACGGUACCUAAACAGAAAGCCACGGCUAACUACGUG